This 667-nucleotide ribosomal RNA is filed under the name uncultured cyanobacterium. RNAcentral's name for it is "bacterial SSU rRNA". It matches the Rfam family "Bacterial small subunit ribosomal RNA", at positions 99 to 795 of the family's 1533-position model. The record is from RNAcentral. Lineage: Bacteria; Bacillati; Cyanobacteriota.
CGGACGGGUGAGUAACGCGUGAGAAUCUGCCAUCAGGUCUGGGACAACCACUGGAAACGGUGGCUAAUACCGGAUGUGCCCGUAAUUGGGUGAAAGGUUAACUGCCUGUUGAUGAGCUCGCGUCUGAUUAGCUAGUUGGAAGUGUAAUGGACUCCCAAGGCGACGAUCAGUAGCUGGUCUGAGAGGACGAUCAGCCACACUGGGACUGAGACACGGCCCAGACUCCUACGGGAGGCAGCAGUGGGGAAUUUUCCGCAAUGGGCGAAAGCCUGACGGAGCAAUACCGCGUGAGGGAGGAAGGCUCUUGGGUCGUAAACCUCUUUUCUCAGGGAAGAACACAAUGACGGUACCUGAGGAAUAAGCAUCGGCUAACUCCGUGCCAGCAGCCGCGGUAAUACGGAGGAUGCAAGCGUUAUCCGGAAUGAUUGGGCGUAAAGCGUCCGCAGGUGGCAAUGUAAGUCUGCUGUUAAAGAGUCUAGCUCAACUAGAUAAGAGCAGUGGAAACUACAUAGCUAGAGUACGUUCGGGGCAGAGGGAAUUCCUGGUGUAGCGGUGAAAUGCGUAGAGAUCAAGAAGAACACCAGUGGCGAAGGCGCUCUGCUAGGCCGUAACUGACACUGAGGGACGAAAGCUAGGGGAGCGAAUGGGAUUAGAUACCCCAGUAGUC